GUUUGAUCCUGGCUCAGGACGAACGCUGGCGGCGUGCUUAACACAUGCAAGUCGAACGGUGACGGAUGGAGCUUGCUCUGUCUUGAUCAGUGGCGAACGGGUGAGUAACACGUGAGUAACCUGCCCCAGACUCUGGAAUAACCCCGGGAAACCGGAGCUAAUACCGGAUAUGACACCAACCUGCAUGGGUAUGGUGUGGAAAGUUUUUCGGUCUGGGAUGGACUCGCGGCCUAUCAGCUUGUUGGUGAGGUAAUGGCUCACCAAGGCGACGACGGGUAGCCGGCCUGAGAGGGCGACCGGCCACACUGGGACUGAGACACGGCCCAGACUCCUACGGGAGGCAGCAGUGGGGAAUAUUGCACAAUGGGCGAAAGCCUGAUGCAGCGACGCCGCGUGAGGGAUGACGGCCUUCGGGUUGUAAACCUCUUUCAGCAGGGAAGAAGCGCAAGUGACGGUACCUGCAGAAGAAGCACCGGCUAACUACGUGCCAGCAGCCGCGGUAAUACGUAGGGUGCGAGCGUUGUCCGGAAUUAUUGGGCGUAAAGAGCUUGUAGG
Molecule: ribosomal RNA, 555 nt
Filed under: Salmonella enterica subsp. enterica serovar Agona
Lineage: Bacteria; Pseudomonadati; Pseudomonadota; Gammaproteobacteria; Enterobacterales; Enterobacteriaceae
Description: bacterial SSU rRNA
Rfam family: Bacterial small subunit ribosomal RNA
Source: RNAcentral